This 114-nucleotide unclassified non-coding RNA is filed under the name uncultured fungus. Its description in RNAcentral is "sequence contains ITS1". The record is from RNAcentral. Lineage: Eukaryota; Fungi.
CCGAUUAUAGCGAGCCCGGUCGCUUCUGACCGAGGUAUCGUGAAAUUUGUAUUUAAAACCCCACUCUUUUUUAAUAAAAUUUAUCGUAUCAAUUAUUGAUAAUAAAUUUUAAGA